GGGGGCGUUUUUAGAUUCGAUUGGGCGACUGCGUAAAGACGUAAGCAUACCGAAGGCUCGUCUUCGUUAAAACGGAAAUUAAAUUUAAAUGCUAACAAUAACGAAUUAGCAUUCGCUGCUUAAUUUAAGCGAACGUUCUUUUCUUUCUCGCCCGUUGGAAGGAAAAAGGGCGUCAACUAGACGGGGUACUGCUUUUUAGGUUUGAUUUUGCCUAACUAGCCGAAUUUAGAAAUCAAAGGGUAAUCCUUGGUCGCCAACGACCUAAAUUACCACGAAAAUCAACCGUUGGAUAAGUAUGUAGAAGGUUUUUAUUAAGCGUUCAAGACCGGAGUGCAAGUCUCCGCGUCUCCACCA
Molecule: transfer-messenger RNA, 354 nt
Filed under: Christensenellaceae
Lineage: Bacteria; Bacillati; Bacillota; Clostridia; Christensenellales
Also listed under: 1 other name
Description: UBA1259 sp017648525 Standard tmRNA
Rfam family: transfer-messenger RNA
About the family: Bacterial tmRNA, also known as 10Sa RNA or SsrA, is named for its dual tRNA and mRNA-like properties. Its role is to liberate the mRNA from a stalled ribosome.
Source: RNAcentral